UUUCGGUGGCGCGACGCUCCGCGCCCGAAAGAGGGAACGCCGUGAAAUUCGGCGACAGUACCCGCUGCUGUGAUUCCCGCUGAACCGAGGGCAACAGGCCACUGCAAAUCCGUUUGCGGGAAGGCGCCCGAGGGAAGGGAUCAGUCAGAAGACCUGCCGGACACGAA
This 167-nucleotide non-coding RNA is filed under the name Alistipes ihumii. The record is from RNAcentral. Lineage: Bacteria; Pseudomonadati; Bacteroidota; Bacteroidia; Bacteroidales; Rikenellaceae.